This 345-nucleotide long non-coding RNA is filed under the name Lathyrus oleraceus (garden pea). RNAcentral describes it as "Pisum sativum (pea) long non-coding RNA (PSAT_LNC036400)". Lineage: Eukaryota; Viridiplantae; Streptophyta; Magnoliopsida; Fabales; Fabaceae. The record is from RNAcentral.
UGUCUUCUGUUUUGGUUUCCUUAUUUUCUUUUUUUUUUUAAUUUUAUUUUAAACAGAAUAAGUUUUUGAAAACAUUAAAGAUUUUUGCUUAAAAUUCCUAGGUUAUUAGUUAAUAAUUGUUUUUUUAUAUUUUCAACUUAUACCCCCAUUGUAAACCCAACAGCCAAGCGGAUGGGUUUAAUUACUGGUAGUCCAACAGAUUUCUUUUUUAUUAGUUUUUUAUUUUAAUUCUUUUUUUUAAUUUAUCUUGGUUUAUAUAUCUAAAUUAGCAAUGUAAAUAACAACUAGUCAUGAGUGGUCUGGUGGAGAGGGGUGGUUUCUAUGGUCUUUAGUGUAGUGGGUUCG